This 468-nucleotide ribosomal RNA is filed under the name uncultured bacterium. RNAcentral's name for it is "partial 16S ribosomal RNA". It matches the Rfam family "Bacterial small subunit ribosomal RNA", at positions 28 to 507 of the family's 1533-position model. The record is from RNAcentral.
GACGAACGCUGGCGGCGUGCUUAACACAUGCAAGUCGAACGGAAAGGCCCUGCUUUCGUGGGGUGCUCGAGUGGCGAACGGGUGAGUAACACGUGAGUAACCUGCCCUUGACUUUGGGAUAACUUCAGGAAACUGGGGCUAAUACCGUAUAGGAGCUCCUGCUGCAUGGUGGGGGUUGGAAAGUUUCGGCGGUUGGGGAUGGAUUCGCGGCUUAUCAGCUUGCUGGUGGGGUAGUGGCAUACCAAGGCUUUGACGGGUAGCCGGCCUGAGAGGGUGACCGGCCACAUUGGGACUGCGAUACGGCCCAGACGCCUACAGGAGGCAGCAGUGGGGAGUAUUACACAAUGGGCGGAAGCCUGAUGCAGCAGCGCCGCGUGCGGGAUGACGGCCUUCGGGUUGUAAACCGCUUUAGCCUGUGACGAAGCGGGAGUGACGGUAAUGGGUAAAGAAGCACCGGCUAACUACGUG